RNAcentral lists this unclassified non-coding RNA (285 nucleotides) under uncultured Venturiales. Its description in RNAcentral is "sequence contains 5.8S rRNA gene, ITS2, 28S rRNA gene". The record is from RNAcentral. Lineage: Eukaryota; Fungi; Ascomycota; Dothideomycetes.
AACGCACAUUGCGCCUCUCGGUAUUCCGGGAGGCACGCCUGUUCGAGCGCCAUUACACACUCCAAGCACCGCUUGAUGUUGGGCGAGGUGGUCCCCUAUCUUGGGGGCUACCCGCCUGGAACGCGUGGGCGCCAGCCGCCGGACCACGAGCGUAGCAAGACGACAAGUCAAUUCGCUGUGUGGGCUCCGACGGAGGGCCGCCGAGCCUCUCUCCCCACGGGGAGGGGGCACCCCAAUUUUCACGAGUUUGGCCUCGGAUCAGGCGGGGAUACCCGCUGAACUUAA